AGUGAACGCUGGCGGCAGGCCUAAUACAUGCAAGUCGAACGGCAGCACAGCAGAGCUUGCUCUGUGGGUGGCGAGUGGCGGACGGGUGAGGAAUACAUGGGAAUCUGCCCAGUCGUGGGGGAUAACGCAUGGAAACGUACGCUAAUACCGCAUGCGCCCUACGGGGGAAAGUCGGGGACCGCAAGGCCUGACGCGAUUGGAUGAGCCCAUGUUCGAUUAGCUAGUUGGCGGGGUAAAGGCCCACCAAGGCGACGAUCGAUAGCUGGUCUGAGAGGAUGAUCAGCCACACUGGAACUGAGACACGGUCCAGACUCCUACGGGAGGCAGCAGUAGGGAAUAUUGGACAAUGGGGGCAACCCUGAUCCAGCCAUGCCGCGUGAGUGAAGAAGGCCCUCGGGUUGUAAAGCUCUUUUGUCCGGAAAGAAAGCAUCUGGUUAAUACCCGGGU
This 447-nucleotide ribosomal RNA is filed under the name uncultured bacterium. RNAcentral's name for it is "bacterial SSU rRNA". It matches the Rfam family "Bacterial small subunit ribosomal RNA", at positions 29 to 467 of the family's 1533-position model. The record is from RNAcentral.